AGUUAAACAGUACGUGAAAUUGUUGAAAGGGAAACGAUUGAAGUCAGUCAUACCAACGGGAAAUCAACCUCUUGAGUUUGGUCUCGUGGGUUUCGAAGAGUUUAAAAGCCUUCGGAUUUUCGAGAUUGGGCUCUUCUGGUGUACUUUCUCGUACGGUUAGUCAACAUCGGUUUUGAAUGUCAUAAAAUGACUGGAGGAAUGUGGCUUCGAUCUCGUAUUGAAGUGUUAUAACCUUUGGUAGAUGUGAUGUUUGAGACCGAGGAUUGCAACGGAUACCCUUCUGGGCUAUUCGUCUGAUCUCUGAAACGUUGCCUUGAUGUCGAAAGCUUGCUUAUGAUGUUAGGGUAUUACGGUCAAAAGGUUAGAACGGAUUAAAUUCGUUAAGGAUGUUGACGUAAUGACUUUAAA
Molecule: unclassified non-coding RNA, 408 nt
Filed under: uncultured Funneliformis
Lineage: Eukaryota; Fungi; Glomeromycota; Glomeromycetes; Glomerales; Glomeraceae
Description: sequence contains 28S rRNA gene
Source: RNAcentral